AUUUCAAUUAAAAUACAUUAAUAUAUAUGUAUACGGGUCUUUUUGGGUGAUAUUGCUUAAUUAUCGUUGAACGCUGAUUAUACGAUAUCUACGCAUACAUCCGUGCAGGUACACCUUAUCUGUUGGAAUACCCAUCGAAUUCUAUGAUUGUCGAAUACAGUUGGCGAUGUGAAACCGCGCAAGUUCAAGCUAAUCAAAAACAAUAUAAAAUUUUUACAACAAACAAGCCAAAAUAUAAUGCAAAGUAUGAGUGGGCGAUUCGUUUUUAAUUUCAUAUUUACAAAUUGCUUGGUGAGUUGUAUGAUUUUCACAUCCGCUUCAUGAUUGAGACUUUCAUUCUAACCACUUCAUACGAAAGUUUUCCAAAUCGAAGGGUUGAAAUCACACUCUACUGGUGACAUACAUUUUGUAUGUAUGCACGCGUUUACCUCUGAGUAAAGGUAUACUAAUAGUACAUGCCUGUGUAUGCGUGUUUAUUACAUGUAUUGCACUUUAUCCGUGGUUGCAGGCAAAUAUACUAACGUUUCUUUAAUAUCAAUUAAUAGACGUGUACUGAACGGCCGUACGUGUCCUUGACUAAACAUAAGUUUGAAAAAGAGUAGCGAGCAAUGAUCAGCAAAUAAAGGGUUUAGAAGGUGCGUCAAAUUCAUACAUAGUUUAUUCGCCAAUAACAUACCGAUACCUGAUACCAUGUAUAGAAUUAGUAAAAUAUAAUAUUAAUAAACUUUUCUUUAUGAUUUGUUUCUUCUUACCGGAUUCAACAUAUUCCUAUGU
Diprion similis is the source of this 774-nucleotide long non-coding RNA. RefSeq lists it as uncharacterized. The transcript is spliced from 3 exons. NCBI's taxonomy places the organism in Eukaryota, Metazoa, Arthropoda, Insecta, Hymenoptera, Diprionidae. The record is from RefSeq and is a predicted model, not a curated record.